Molecule: ribosomal RNA, 429 nt
Filed under: Bacteroidota bacterium
Lineage: Bacteria; Pseudomonadati; Bacteroidota
Description: Bacteroidetes bacterium partial 16S ribosomal RNA
Rfam family: Bacterial small subunit ribosomal RNA
Source: RNAcentral
UAGGGAAUUUUCCGCAAUGGACGCAAGUCUGACGGAGCAACGCCGCGUGAGUGAAGAAGGAUUUCGGUCCGUAAAACUCUGUUGUUAGAGAAGAACAGCGUUUAGAGUAACUGUUAUGCGUGUGACGGUAUCUAACCAGAAAGCCACGGCUAACUACGUGCCAGCAGCCGCGGUAAUACGUAGGUCCCGAGCGUUAUCCGGAAUUAUUGGGCGUAAAGCGCGCGUAGGCGGUUUUUUAAGUCUGAUGUGAAAGCCCACGGCCCAAGCGUGGAGGGUCGUUGGAAACUGUAAAACUUGAGUGGGGGGGAGGAAGGUGGAAUUCCAUGUGUAGCGGUGAAAUGCGCAAGGAUAUGGAGGAAGACCGGUGGCGAGGGCGACUUUAUGGUCUGUAACUGACGCGGAUGUGCGAGAGCGUGGGGAUCAAACAGG